Molecule: small nuclear RNA, 196 nt
Organism: Solanum stenotomum
Lineage: Eukaryota; Viridiplantae; Streptophyta; Magnoliopsida; Solanales; Solanaceae
Product: U2 spliceosomal RNA
Exons: 1
Source: RefSeq, a predicted model, not a curated record
AUACCUUUCUCGGCCUUUAGGCUAAGAUCAAGUGUAGUAUCUAUUCUUAUCAGUUUAAUAUCUGAUAUGUGGGUCAUCGAUCCACAUGAUAUUAACUCAAUUUUUUGAGGGGGAGAGUUCACUAUGGUAGCUUGCUAUCGAGACUCUCAAGUGUCGUCUUGGCAUUACACUACAACCUAGACCUGGCACACCCCAC